This is a long non-coding RNA of Glycine soja, 1278 nucleotides long. RefSeq lists it as uncharacterized. NCBI's taxonomy places the organism in Eukaryota, Viridiplantae, Streptophyta, Magnoliopsida, Fabales, Fabaceae. The record is from RefSeq and is a predicted model, not a curated record. The transcript is spliced from 2 exons.
CACGGGAUCAUGAGGUAUGUAUAAUUUGUCAAUUUUAUCAUAAAGUAAAAAUUUACGAUAGAAAAUUAAAUUAUUUUCAUAUUGUACCCGUAAAGCAUGAAUUUAAGUAUGUAAUUUGGUUAUUUUAUCAUAAGGUUUAAUUUUUUUAUUGAAUUAAAAUUUUAGUCCACAUGUAAUUUUUAUGUCAUAAAAUUUAAUUUUCUGGUAUGUUUACAUUGGAAAAAGAUAUAAUUAAGAUUAAUAUGACUCAAAUUUUGACAUAAGGCUUUGGAUUUGGUAGCUUCUCAAACUGUUAGUUUUUCUGGUAUUCAAUGUGAUGUUCCUAAACUCAAAGGAGAUAACUAUAAGAUUUGGAAGGAGAGAAUUCUUCUAUCAUUGGGGUGAAUGAACAUAGACUAUGCUAUAAGGAAAAACAAAUCGCUUGCAAUCACUGAUGAAAGUAGCUCAGCUGAUGUUGCGCUAUAUGAGCGAUGGGAGCGAUCCAAUCGGCUGGGAUACGUGAUUCUAUCGACCAACAUGAAAAGGUCCGAGACUUGCUUAAGGUCAUUGAGGACCAGUUCAUCACUUCAGAUAAGGCUUUAGCAAACACCCUGAUCAUGAAGUUCUCAUCUCUUAUGCUCACUAGUGUGAAAGGUGUGCGUGAGUACAUAAUACAUAUGUGAGAUAUUUCAUCUCAACUUAAGAAACUCGAGGUUGAUAUGUCUGAGUUCUUCUUGAUGCACUUCAUUUUAAACACCCUUUCGCAAGAAUAUGGGCCGUGUAAGAUUUCCUACAACACACAUAAGGACAAAUGGUCUAUCAAUGAAUUAAUGACUAUGUGUGUUUAGGAAGAAGAAAGGCUUGUAAUGGAGAUAGGUGAGAGUUCAUUGCUAACAACUGCUUGUGGGAAGAAAAAAGCAACUAAGUCUCAAGCUAAUCAGAAGGGGAAUGGUAAAAUACCACCUCAAGAUGAUAUUAAGAUGGUGGCAAAGUGUUUCUUUUGCAUGAAGAAGGGACACAUGAAAAAGAAUUGUCCCGGAUUCCAGAAAUGGAUUGAGAAGAAAGGGUAUGCAAAACCUAAGGAAACUAGUGGGAAGUGAGCAAAACAUUUUAUCAAGCAAUAAGCUAGGCUCACCUAUGGAGGCUAUUGAAACUUGCAUUUUAACUUUAAGUAGUGGCUUUAUUUUGAAAUUAGAAAAGACCUUUUAUGUACCAAGCUUUUCUCGAAACUUGAUUUUUGUUUCUAGACUCAUACCUUUUGGAUAUUCCUUUAAUUUUAAAGACACAUCAUUUGAGUUA